AUGAUUCUGGGACGCGGCCGAGGAGAGGGCCGUCCUCUCGUCAUUGACUUGGAGGCUGCCCGCAAGGCCGUCAACGGAUUCCUAGUGGUGGGGCGCCUUCUCUCCCCUUUCCAGGUCAAUCCGAGGGUCAUUGUCGACGACCUCCGGAACACGGUCUGGAAGAACCAAGGGGCGCUCACCAUCCAAGAGGUGGACAACGCAGACAGGAGGUUUAUCCUCAAUCUCGCUGCUGACAGUGAUCGACGAUUUGUGCUAAAGGCGCAACCUUGGCAUUUCAAGCAUGACAGUCUCAUCUUCGCCGAGUUCGACGACAAGGGGGACCCAGCAGAGGUCGACCUUGGUGUCAUGGCCAUAUGGGUCCAGGUACGUGAUCUUCCAUUCGAGCUUAAGACUGAAAGCAUAAGGAGGUCUCUUGAGGAUCAACUAGGUGAGGUGUUGGAGGUUGCUCACCAAAACCAUGUAAUUGUUGAUAAAUACGUGCGGGUGCGUGUCAAGAUAUUACUGCAUGAACCUCUAAAGUGUUCUGUAGAGUUUACACCUCUAGGUAGUUCUAAGGUUUUUAAGUAUGAUGUAAAGUAUGAAAAGCUUCCCCUGUACUGCGAGUGUUGUGGCAUUGUUGGCCACACUUCUGAGAGGUUUUGUAAAAUCCCUCGUGAUAAGAGGGUUGUUUGUUAUCCUAGAAAUCUGAGUGUAGAACCCUACCGGAAGAGCCAAGGCGCUAGUAAGAGGGGUCUCCUCUUCGGGAACUAUCUUCGCGAUGGCAAGAAUUCUUCUUCGGGCACCGUCAACAACACCGCCAAGCCCAUGGACGUCGUCAAGGUGGCCACUGCCGUGAGAGGACUCACGGUCACGGACAAAGGGGCCUCCUCAUCCGUCAAGUUGACACUCGGCCAGGAGGGUCGGGAUCGGGGGCUCAUGGCGCCUGUUCUGGCUGACGUAGCACUUGGCUGGGAGGACCAGGCAGGCGCGCCGACUGUUUCUGGCGAGCGAGUAGGGCGGGGCAAAGUGCCUCUGGUGGACCCGCACCAUGGAGGUCCGCACGACCAGGAGGGUCAAGUAAGCCACACUACUACUACUGGUCUGGACCAAUUUCUCCUGGGGGGUCUAAAGCCCAAAUCCUCUCAAGCGCUGGGCAUGCCCAGCCUAGUCCCAAAUCAUGGGGCUGAUGCUGAUGGAUUUCUUUUCUAG
This 1188-nucleotide ribosomal RNA is filed under the name Triticum aestivum (bread wheat). RNAcentral's name for it is "partial small subunit ribosomal RNA". Lineage: Eukaryota; Viridiplantae; Streptophyta; Magnoliopsida; Poales; Poaceae. The record is from RNAcentral.